RNAcentral lists this non-coding RNA (29 nucleotides) under Mus musculus (house mouse). Lineage: Eukaryota; Metazoa; Chordata; Mammalia; Rodentia; Muridae. The record is from RNAcentral.
UUCAUUCACAUUUUGAUGUCCUUUUGGUC